Molecule: non-coding RNA, 55 nt
Filed under: unclassified sequences
Source: RNAcentral
CUCUUAAAGUUGCCUAAGAACGUUGCAAGCCGUUUUACGAAAAACUGAGCAAGAA